Long non-coding RNA from Gallus gallus (chicken), 2357 nucleotides. The record is from Ensembl. Lineage: Eukaryota; Metazoa; Chordata; Aves; Galliformes; Phasianidae.
AAUGUAGUUUAAUGGUGGUGUCCCUGCCUGUGGCUGGGGUGGGUUUGUUCUACGUGUUCAUGAAGGUUUCUUCCAACCAAUACCGUUCUAUGAUUAUUUUAAUUUUUGUAGUUUAAUGAAUAGAUUGGCUGGAUACAGCUUUUUGCCUGUCUCAGCAACCACACUGUCUUCUGCUUAUGGUAAUUUGUAAGAAUAGACAGUAAUGACCUUGUGCUUCUGGAAGGCAAAAGCAAAAUGGAUGAGGAAAAUUCACAGUACAGAUGAACAACUCUGCAAGGAUUAUUGUUGGAUUACAAGCUGUUCACUCUGUCUUUAUUGGUGGGGGAGAAGGAAUGUAAGGAUGUUACUUGGUUGAUCCGUCUUCUCAAAUUCCCAUGUUACCUUAUGUUUAUUUUGUCUUCUGGUACUAUGUGGUGUUUUAGUAAAUACUGUUCUUAUUAAUGUGUUAGGCUAUUUGCAGGCAACUCAGAUGGUGCCAGUGUAAGGAACCAGAAGUGUGAAUAUCUGAUGCUCUCUUUCAGUAGUUCAUGGCUGAAGCAAGUAUUUUUUUUUUUAACUGUUCGUACUGGACUGUAGUGAUGCCUACGUGUACAUAAACAGGAUCUUAUGUAAUGGUUGGUCUUGAGGAAACCCUGGUGAUAACUGUUUUUAUCAGAGUAUUAAUUAUUGCCUCUUUGAGGUCCGAACAUUGAUUUCUCAUCUUGUAUUUCCUUUAUUUCCUUAAACGUUUUGCAAAAUCUCUUAGCUGAUAGAAAUUUCUCAUGGUCUUCUAGAAGGAGAGAAGCCCAAUAGGAAUAUUUUUAAUACAAUUAAAUUACCUUUACUUGUCUAGGUGACCUGGCACUUUGGAGAUCAUAGUUUUAAGAAUCAAUAACUCAUUUGCUGAAACAGAUACAAAAUGGACUAUGGUAUUGUGUCCAUCUGCAGUUAAUUCUGUGGAAACGAGAAGUUCUCAUCUGGCAUUGAUGUUUAAGUGAGAACAUGUUCCUCAAUAUCUAUAAAAGGGCCUCAAAAUGGAAGGCCUUGCUUUCACUUCUGUGAAGGCUCUUACUUGGCAGUAUUUCACAAACUGAGCACAAAUGUUAUGUGCAAGGGACAAAAAAAAAAAAUGCUAAUUAGAUUAAAAUUAGUUCCUAGGGUAGGGAUUGUUUUCUCCUUAGUUACUUUCCAUCUGCCCUUCUCCAAUGCCCCCUCCUUUGCCAAAGUGCCAAGUGAUUUGUGACUUCCUAUUUUUUAAACUUGAUCCAUUGCAGUGUGAAUUCUAAAUCAUCCUUAAAACAAAACCAUUCAGCAAUUGCUAAAAGUUUGUUGCUUCGUACACGAGCCAAAUGUCAGCAACUCUUUCAGAAGAGACAGGUGCCUUAAUAUAACGAGACACUUGCUGCAUGCUUCUGCAUUAAGUGACAUUGAAUUGCUGAGAUAUUGGCAAACCUGUCCAGUAGACACUCAGCUUGUCUUCCUCUGCUGGUUCUAGUUCACUUCACUUAUGCUGACUCUUCUCUUUUCUUUUGUCAUUUGAGAAUUUCCUAUUCAAUGUAAACCUCCUUUUGAGACUAAUUAAAAUCAAGCUAGAGAGAUUCUUUGAAGCAAAAGCACUAUAAAGAAUUAAACUCUCAUUAGUAAUAAGAGAAUAUUAUAAAUAUUAUAUUCCUUCCUCUUUUUUUUUGCUGUUGAUCUUAUAGUUGUGUAGUUGUGAUAUUUAAGAACUGCUUAUAAAGUUUGCUUUCUUAUUCUCUGUACUGCUUUUAUUUGCAUGUGUUAUUUUAUACAUGUGGUGUCUGCUGUUGUGGUAAGGUUAUGAAAAGUGUCUGCUGACUUUAAGUAAGAAAUAAAAUCUUUCUCAUUUCUUAAACUGACUUAGUGUACAGUAACAUCUGAAUUUUUUUUGUGGUCAGAUUCUGGGUUCUUGUUGACUUCUGUCUAUGGAAUGCUGCAGACUAUGUGCAGGUAGGGUGAGGAGAGACUGUCUAGAUGUAGUAAGUAACUGUGAAUAUUUUUAUAUUAUCUGAGCAUCUCCUAAUCUUAGCUUGUCACGCAAAGCCUGGAGGUUAUUUUAAUCUUGUUUUGCACGUAGGAAUCUGUGACAAGAAUUAUCUAAAGUGACAUAAGAACAUGAAGGUAGACUAUCUUCAGCUUUCUUGUACGGUAGAGCUAAUUGCUUUAACUCUAUUGUCUCUGUUCCCUGUAAGACUGAGCCAAGAAAAGCAUAGUUCUUGUGUAGGGUUUUCUUCAGCAAGUCGUAAUGUAUCAAUUCAAAUCUUUAUUUGAAUGAACAAACUCCAGAGGAUUUUGUUUCACUUCAUAGUUCAACUUUUGCACUGUUAGUGGAAUUUGUAGAAUAAAAUCUAAGAAUGUUG